CACCGGUUCUCUCACGAUCUUUGAUGUUAAGCAUCGUCGAGCAAGGUCAAUACCUAGAUGGGUGAUCGCUUGGGAAUACUAGGUGCUGUAA
This is a non-coding RNA of Acanthosepion pharaonis, 91 nucleotides long. The record is from the annotation of a GenBank genome assembly. Lineage: Eukaryota; Metazoa; Mollusca; Cephalopoda; Sepiida; Sepiidae.